GUGAAUCAUCGAAUUUUUGAACGCAAAUUGCACUCUCCGGUUUUCCGGGAGAGGAUGCCGGUUUGUGGGUCUGUUUAAAAAAUUAUCGAGUCUGCUGCUGUGGUUGCGCUUCGGUAUUGGGUCAUCCUCCACCUUUCGGGGUCGUAGGUGACCUAAAAUUUUUCUUACGAUUUCUACGAACGUGUCUAAGAAUUUCUUGUACGUUCGUGACAUACAAAUCAUAUU
This 225-nucleotide unclassified non-coding RNA is filed under the name Glomus sp. RNAcentral's name for it is "partial contains 5.8S ribosomal RNA and internal transcribed spacer 2". The stretch from base 1 to 72 matches the Rfam family "5.8S ribosomal RNA", at positions 84 to 154 of the family's 154-position model. The record is from RNAcentral. Lineage: Eukaryota; Fungi; Glomeromycota; Glomeromycetes; Glomerales; Glomeraceae.